RNAcentral lists this ribosomal RNA (468 nucleotides) under uncultured bacterium. RNAcentral's name for it is "partial 16S ribosomal RNA". It matches the Rfam family "Bacterial small subunit ribosomal RNA", at positions 28 to 507 of the family's 1533-position model. The record is from RNAcentral.
GACGAACGCUGGCGGCGUGCCUAACACAUGCAAGUCGAACGGAAAGGCCCUGCUUUUGUGGGGUGCUCGAGUGGCGAACGGGUGAGUAACACGUGUGUAUCCUGCCCUUGACUUUGGGAUAAAUCUAGGAAACUGGGGCUCAUAUCGGAUAGGAGCUCCUGCUGCAUGGUGGGGGUUGGAAAAUUUCGGCGGUUGGGGAUGGACUCGCGGCUUAUCAGCUUGUUGGGGGGGUAGGGGAUUACGAAGGUUUUGACGGGUAGCCGGCCUGAGAGGGUGACCAGCCACAUGGGGACUGAGGUACGGCCCAGACUCCUACGGGAGGCAGCAGUGGGGAAUAUGACACAAUGGCCGGGAGCCUGAUGCAGCAACGCCGCGUGCGGGAUGACGGCCUACGGGUUGUAAACCGCUUUCGCCUGUGACGAAGCGUGAUUGACGGUAAUGGGUAAAGAAGCACCGGCUAACUACGUG